AUUAAAACGUUGACGAGGACAGUAGGUUCGCUUUAAGGCUUUGAGAGAGGAAUGGGCGGUGAGAUCAUUUCAGCACGGGCGCUCUGAACACCACCUCCGAGUGGCACUAAUCAUGCCCGCCUAGCCGCGUUAAAAGCUUCAAAGAGUGCCGGAGCAGGAGCUCCGGAAGAUGGGUGGAACCACGAAUACGAAUGUAUGCGUCCCUUCU
RNAcentral lists this non-coding RNA (208 nucleotides) under Mogibacterium pumilum. RNAcentral describes it as "T-box sequence". It matches the Rfam family "T-box leader". Rfam says of the family: Uncharged tRNA acts as the effector for transcription antitermination of genes in the T-box leader family. The record is from RNAcentral. Lineage: Bacteria; Bacillati; Bacillota; Clostridia; Peptostreptococcales; Anaerovoracaceae.